RNAcentral lists this ribosomal RNA (724 nucleotides) under Staphylococcus aureus. RNAcentral describes it as "bacterial SSU rRNA". It matches the Rfam family "Bacterial small subunit ribosomal RNA", at positions 1 to 707 of the family's 1533-position model. Lineage: Bacteria; Bacillati; Bacillota; Bacilli; Caryophanales; Staphylococcaceae. The record is from RNAcentral. RNAcentral also lists the same sequence under 1 other name.
UUUAUGGAGAGUUUGAUCCUGGCUCAGGAUGAACGCUGGCGGCGUGCCUAAUACAUGCAAGUCGAGCGAACGGACGAGAAGCUUGCUUCUCUGAUGUUAGCGGCGGACGGGUGAGUAACACGUGGAUAACCUACCUAUAAGACUGGGAUAACUUCGGGAAACCGGAGCUAAUACCGGAUAAUAUUUUGAACCGCAUGGUUCAAAAGUGAAAGACGGUCUUGCUGUCACUUAUAGAUGGAUCCGCGCUGCAUUAGCUAGUUGGUAAGGUAACGGCUUACCAAGGCAACGAUGCAUAGCCGACCUGAGAGGGUGAUCGGCCACACUGGAACUGAGACACGGUCCAGACUCCUACGGGAGGCAGCAGUAGGGAAUCUUCCGCAAUGGGCGAAAGCCUGACGGAGCAACGCCGCGUGAGUGAUGAAGGUCUUCGGAUCGUAAAACUCUGUUAUUAGGGAAGAACAUAUGUGUAAGUAACUGUGCACAUCUUGACGGUACCUAAUCAGAAAGCCACGGCUAACUACGUGCCAGCAGCCGCGGUAAUACGUAGGUGGCAAGCGUUAUCCGGAAUUAUUGGGCGUAAAGCGCGCGUAGGCGGUUUUUUAAGUCUGAUGUGAAAGCCCACGGCUCAACCGUGGAGGGUCAUUGGAAACUGGAAAACUUGAGUGCAGAAGAGGAAAGUGGAAUUCCAUGUGUAGCGGUGAAAUGCGCAGAGAUAUGGAGGAAC